This is a long non-coding RNA of Betta splendens (Siamese fighting fish), 551 nucleotides long. RefSeq lists it as uncharacterized. The record is from RefSeq and is a predicted model, not a curated record. The transcript is spliced from 3 exons. NCBI's taxonomy places the organism in Eukaryota, Metazoa, Chordata, Actinopteri, Anabantiformes, Osphronemidae.
UCAUAUGGCCACAGACAAGUCAAGGCCUGAUGGCUGAACAAUGGCGUUUCCCGUCCUCAGCAAAUAAUGGACGUGUCAUUAUCAGCGGGAAUCCAGAUGUUUUUACCUCACAGAGGUGACGCCUGUGCAGGAGUGACUGACUCCACGUCUGUAACGGCCUGUAGUUUGAGUAAAUGACAGGAGAACUGCGCUAUCCUCUUACAGACGAUAUGUACAGCACAUCAAGUCCAAACUGGUCUUUGAAGGAUGAAGAGGUUCAUUUUAGAAGAUGGAAAAAGUUUUGUGCCUGAGGUAUCAAGCUGCAGGAUUCGGCACAAAGGUUUCAGCCCUUUUCUCAUUUGUUUCUCAUUUGGAUUCGGCCUAAAACCCUCCACUCUCCCGUUCGACUGUUCUGCAAAAACGACGGUUUACACAAGAGGAUCCGCCUUGAGGCGAAGCUGCAGAAGGAGGAGGAGACUUGCAGACGACUGUGAAAGGUGCAAUGACUCAGACGCUUCAGAGAUGAAUUAAAUCCUGACAAGACCCCUGGCACCGCGUCAUUAAUCUCAGUC